AACAAACGCUGGCGGCGUGCCUAACACAUGCAAGUCGUACGUGAAAAUCCGCUUCGGUGGAUGAGUAAAGUGGCGCACGGGUGAGUAACGCGUGGAUCAUCUGCCCUUUAGUUUGGGAUAACUCAUCGAAAGGUGGGCUAAUACCGGAUGAUGCUGUUUUUACUUCGGUUGGACAGCCAAAGGGGGCCUCUAUUUAUAAGCUCUUGCUGAAGGAUGAGUCCGCGUACCAUUAGCUUGUUGGCAGGGUAAAAGCCUACCAAGGCGACGAUGGUUAGCUGGUCUGAGAGGAUGAUCAGCCACACUGGAACUGAGAUACGGUCCAGACUCCUACGGGAGGCAGCAGUGAGGAAUCUUGCGCAAUGGGGGAAACCCUGACGCAGCAACGCCGCGUGAGUGAGGAAGGUCUUCGGAUCGUAAAGCUCUGUCGGGUGGAAAGAAAUGCAUGGAGGCUAAUACCUUUCAUGCUUGACGGUACCACCGGAGGAAGCACCGGCUAACUCCGUGCCAGCCGCCGCGGUAA
This 520-nucleotide ribosomal RNA is filed under the name uncultured bacterium. RNAcentral describes it as "partial 16S ribosomal RNA". It matches the Rfam family "Bacterial small subunit ribosomal RNA", at positions 29 to 523 of the family's 1533-position model. The record is from RNAcentral.